CAGUCGCCGCGGGAACACGUAGGUGGCAAGCGUUGUCCGGAAUUAUUGGGCGUAAAGGGCUCGCAGGCGGUUUCUUAAGUCUGAUGUGAAAGCCCCCGGCUCAACCGGGGAGGGUCAUUGGAAACUGGGAAACUUGAGUGCAGAAGAGGAGAGUGGAAUUCCACGUGUAGUGGUGAAAUGCGUAGAGAUGUGGAGGAACACCAGUGGCGAAGGCGACUCUCUGGUCUGUAACUGACGCUGAGGAGCGAAAGCGUGGGGAGCGAACAGGAUUAGAUACCCCUGUAGUCCCUGUCUCUUAUAC
RNAcentral lists this ribosomal RNA (301 nucleotides) under uncultured bacterium. RNAcentral's name for it is "partial 16S ribosomal RNA". It matches the Rfam family "Bacterial small subunit ribosomal RNA", at positions 509 to 807 of the family's 1533-position model. The record is from RNAcentral.